Molecule: long non-coding RNA, 2860 nt
Organism: Piliocolobus tephrosceles (Ugandan red Colobus)
Lineage: Eukaryota; Metazoa; Chordata; Mammalia; Primates; Cercopithecidae
Exons: 4
Source: RefSeq, a predicted model, not a curated record
CCCACACUCACCUAGAGGCUGCAGCCCCAGCCGUCAGGCUGAAAUCAAAGCGACACGCGUCUCACUGGUGGGCCUGCCUCAGGCCAGUACCCCACAGGACCCUGCUGCUGCUACCCCUUUGGAUUCAAGGACAGGCCAGGCCUUCCCAUGAUCUGGGCUAAACAGGGGCUGGAGCCCUGGAUCCCAGUCCUGUGGUGGGGUUCACUCCUCACCUAGGACGUAGGCAAGCCCUGCCCUUUCUUAUCCCCAGGGCAGCUGAGGCGCAGGGAGGGGGAUGCAGGGACUGCUCUGGAGGGGGCUUACUGCACAGGCCCAGCCAGCCCACCCUCAGAGAGCAGGGUCCCAGGGUAGAGUCAGCACCCCAAGCUGGGAGGCUGGGGUCUCCUUACACUGCCCCCUCCCCACAGACCUUCCAUUUCCCACCUGCAGACUGAACACAGCACUGUCUGCCCUGACGACUGCCUGGGGGCAGGGGAGGUUGUAAAACAGGUUCUGGAGAAGUAAGAACUUUUUAAAAAGGAAAGAAAAUAGAAAGCCAAUCCAGGUAAGGGCAGCCUGGUGACUAUUAUCCUGGGGAGACUCCCCCACCCACACUUUCACUCCAGGCUCACCCGAGGGCUGCAGCUUCCUCCGGAUGGAUCCAGGGCGGCUACUGGUCCCAGAGCUGGGGGCUGAGUGGGCCCGUGCUGAGGGCUGUGGCGUCUGACAAGCCGGCUCCCACUGUCAGCAGGGAAGGGCGGGUGGGCGUGGGCCACGGCUGCCCUGGCCCCCCACCCUGCUGUGCUUUUCUCUACUCCCCUGCCCUGCCUCCUAACCUCCUAACACCCAGUUUCCUCAUCUGCAAAACGGGCAUGAUGCUCGUGCCCCAGCCUCACAGUUAUGGCAAGAAUUAAACGAGAUAACACAUGUAAAGAAGUCAACUAGUUACCACUGUGUGCUAGGUACAACUAGUACCCACUGUGUGCCACCCCCACGGCCAGCUGGUCACCCCACAGGAACCUCUGAGGCCAAGAAGAAUUACCUGUACUGAAGAGGCUCCUGGCUGUGGGUUCCAGCUGUAGCUCCACCCACUUCCGGCAGCUUCCCCGCCCCCUCUGCUUCAGGACGUCCCCGCCCAGUUCCCGCUGCUCCCGCCAUGAUCCAAAGUCUCUGACCCAGGGCCACCUGAGCCAGGCCUGUGACAGUCCCCGUACCUCUAGAUGCUCCUGGCUCGACCAGGACCCAAGCUCUGCCCUGCGUAGCCCAGGCCCCAGCUCCACAGAGCGCACCCGUUCAGCAAACUUGAGGGAAUAGAGCGUCUCGCUAGUGUUCUUCUCCACAGGGGACACCUAGGGGACACAAGAGCUCACUGCCCAACCAGGCCAGCUGGAGGGACAGCAGGGUCAUCAGAGGGAGCUCACAACUGGGGAUGUCAGAAGGCUUCCUGGAGAGGACUGAGAUGCCUGGGGUCACUGGGUCUCGCUGCUAGCGCAGCCCCUACACUCUAGGGACUGGCCCGCCCUAACCCAAGGCACUCACCUGUACCACCAUGAGGGUCUUGCUGUCACCACUAAGUGAAUCCUGCAGCAGGUAGGUGAGCUUGGAGUUGCGGAAGGGCACGUGGCCCUGGCGGGAGCGCAGGGCAGCAAUGACGUCCCCCAGAGCUGACAGCGACUUGUUGAUGUGCUGUGCCUCCCGCAGGCGGCUGCCCUCAGCCCCCGACUUGCCCACGCGCUCGGAGCCAGCCAAGUCCACCAGGUUCAGCUUCCCUGCAGGGAGGGCACCCAGCAGAUCAGGCCUGCCGUGCCCCUUGUGGUUGUGGGGAUCCUCAGGCCAGGCUGCCCGCCACUCUCACCCGUGGUGCGGAGGCCCGUGCUGCAGUCCAUGCCUCGCACCGUCACGAUGAGCAGCGCGUGCGAGCGGGAGCUGUGCUCGUUGAGAGCAGCGUGGCUGUGGUCAGGGGCUCCCUCCUCCACACCUUGUUGAUGUCGUCCACGCUCUGCACUUGGAACUCAGUCAGCCCUGGUACAUACAGCUGCCCACUGCCAUCUGGGCAUAGCCGGAUCUCCAGUUUUUCCUGAGGCUCUUUCCCUAGCAGGUCCCUGGAGGGGUAGCUCCUCCACCGCAUUCGGCUGACGCAGAGAUCUCACUCCACAAUGCAAUGAGCCCUGUGGGCAGGGCCCCCAGCUGCCCACUCUCACCCAUGGCCACCUGGUGCAGCCCACAGCUAGGGGCAAAGAUUGCCUGGGUCUGGGCUGGGGCAGGCUGAGAGAGAGCCCCUCCUCCCCCUAGGACCACCCAAACCGAUGGGCUGAGUCAGGACUUGCAGCCAGGUCCCUUGAUGGCCUCAUCUGUUCCCUGCACUCCCUUCAGGAAGACCCCACUUCCUAUCCCCCAUGGCUCCAGCACCACCCCAGAGGACCCCAAAACUGCCCCUGAGGCCCGCUCCCCACAUGCUGGGGCUCCCACCUGAGGACCUCGUUCCAGCACCACCCCGGAGGACCCCAAAGCUGCCCCUGAGGCCUGCUCCGCACACCCUGGGGCUCCCACCUGAGGACCUCGUUGUAGAUCUCCGCGGCGCUGACGGUGAUGGUGUACUCCCAGUCAGACGCCUUCUCCUGCACCUCAGAGAAGAGCAGCUGCAGGGCCCGCUGGUUGAUACCUGGGUUCUCGGGGGUCCCCUGGGGGCAGAAGGAAAGGCCCCAGUGAGCCAGGCCUGUCCCCAAAGAUGCUCGUGUGGCGUCUGUCCCCCAAGCCCCUUGGCUACUCCUCCCAGGCAAGCCUCCUUGCCCAAACCUCCUACCUACCUGCCACUGUCCCCCCAAAAUGCCCUCUACCAGCUGCAGGCAACUAGGCAACUACACCUCUAUUUCCUCACCAU